UAAUACAGAGGUCUCGAGCGUUAGUCGGAUUCAUUGGGCUUAAAGCGUGCGUAGGCGGAUGUGCAGGCGUCGUGUGAAAGCCCUCGGCUCAACCGGGGAAUUGCACGGCGAACCGCAUGUCUUGAGACAAGUAGGGGCGGUCGGAACGAUAGGUGGAGUGGUGAAAUGCGUUGAUAUCUAUCGGAACGCCAAAGGUGAAGACAGACCGCUGGGCUUGUUCUGACGCUGAGGCACGAAAGCGUGGGGAGCAAACGGGAUUAGAUACCCCGGUAGUCCACGCCCUAAACAAUGUGCACUAGACCGAAGGAGGUACUGACGCCUUUUUCGGUCGAAGUAAAAACGUUGAGUGCACCGCCUGGGGAGUACGGUCGCAAGGCUA
This 379-nucleotide ribosomal RNA is filed under the name uncultured bacterium. RNAcentral describes it as "bacterial SSU rRNA". It matches the Rfam family "Bacterial small subunit ribosomal RNA", at positions 521 to 896 of the family's 1533-position model. The record is from RNAcentral.